UAAUACGUAGGGUGCAACCCCGCGUUCGAAUCGGAAUUACUGGGCGUAAAGCGUGCGCAGGCGGUUCGGAAAGAAAGAUCGUGAAAUCCCAUAGCUUAACUUUGGAACUGCAUUUUUAACUACCGAGCUAGAGUGUGUCAGAAGGAGGUGGAAUUCCGCGUGUAGCAGUGAAAUGCGUAGAUAUGCGGAGGAACACCGAUGGCGAAGGCAGCCUCCUGGGAUAACACUGACGCUCAUGCACGAAAGCGUGGGGAGCAAACAGGAUUAGAUACCCUGGUAGUCCACGCCCUAAACGAUGUCAACUAGCUGUUGGGGCCUUCGGGCCUUGGUAGCGCAGCUAACGCGUGAAGUUGACCGCCUGGGGAGUACGGUCGCAAGAUUAAAACUCAAAGGAAUUGACGGGGACCCGCACAAGCGGUGGAUGAUGUGGAUUAAUUCUAUGCAACGCGAAAAACCUUACCUACCCUUGACAUGUCUGGAAUCCCGAAGAGAUUUGGGAGUGCUCGCAAGAGAACCGGAACACAGGUGCUGCAUGGCUGUCGUCAGCUCGUGUCGAUUGAGAUGUUGGGUUAAGUCCCGCAACGAGCGCA
RNAcentral lists this ribosomal RNA (590 nucleotides) under Bordetella sp. TRE152202. RNAcentral's name for it is "bacterial SSU rRNA". It matches the Rfam family "Bacterial small subunit ribosomal RNA", at positions 521 to 1100 of the family's 1533-position model. Lineage: Bacteria; Pseudomonadati; Pseudomonadota; Betaproteobacteria; Burkholderiales; Alcaligenaceae. The record is from RNAcentral.